CCUACGGGCGGCAGCAGUGGGGAAUAUUGGACAAUGGGGGCAACCCUGAUCCAGCCAUGCCGCGUGUGUGAAGAAGGCCCUCGGGUUGUAAAGCACUUUCAGUGAGGAAGAACGCCUGGUGGUUAAUACCCAUCAGGAAAGACAUCACUCACAGAAGAAGCACCGGCUAACUCCGUGCCAGCAGCCGCGGUAAUACGGAGGGUGCGAGCGUUAAUCGGAAUUACUGGGCGUAAAGCGCGCGUAGGUGGCUUGAUAAGCUGGUUGUGAAAGCCCCGGGCUCAACCUGGGAACGGCAUCCGGAACUGUCAAGCUAGAGUGCAGGAGAGGAAGGUAGAAUUCCCGGUGUAGCGGUGAAAUGCGUAGAGAUCGGGAGGAAUACCAGUGGCGAAGGCGGCCUUCUGGACUGACACUGACACUGAGGUGCGAAAGCGUGGGUAGCAAACAGGAUUAGAUACCCGGGUAGUC
Molecule: ribosomal RNA, 465 nt
Filed under: Vreelandella stevensii
Lineage: Bacteria; Pseudomonadati; Pseudomonadota; Gammaproteobacteria; Oceanospirillales; Halomonadaceae
Description: partial 16S ribosomal RNA
Rfam family: Bacterial small subunit ribosomal RNA
Source: RNAcentral